GUCGCUGUAGCUUAAUGGAUAGAGCAGUCCCGUCCUAAGGGAAAGAUUGGGAGUUCAACUCUCCCCAGCGACACAA
This 76-nucleotide transfer RNA is filed under the name Candidatus Shapirobacteria bacterium CG09_land_8_20_14_0_10_38_17. RNAcentral describes it as "tRNA-Arg". It matches the Rfam family "tRNA". From Rfam's summary of the family: Transfer RNA (tRNA) molecules are approximately 80 nucleotides in length. The record is from RNAcentral. Lineage: Bacteria; Candidatus Shapironibacteriota.